UUCUCUUGCUCUGUUUGGCAGUGCUGAGACCCGGAAGUGAGUACGUUUAACAUGGUUUUAAAGCGUCAGUGUCAUAAUGGCUUCCUCGAUUUCAUUGGCACAACUCUGGUCCUCAUGUUGAUGAACACCAAUAACAGACUCCAAAGACCAGGAAAUUAACAAGGCAGGCGGAGAUGAAAAAUAUUCCAUUUGCCAAGGACCAAAUUAACAACUUAUGCCAAGAUUUGGACAUGUGGUGCCACCUCUGCCAAGGAUACUGACUGUCUCUCUUGCAAAACUUCAAAAGGACAAAAUCUUUGGCAAGGUUAUUUCUCAUUUCUCAAGUGCCCAUACUUGGAACAUCCAAGACUCAGCAGAAGACUGCCCAAAUUACACCCUCCACCUUGGAACAGUUGGACACGCAUGCAACAUCCUACAGUACAACAAAUCUCAAGGAGCCAUUAGAACCCCUGUCCUCUCUCACAAACCCUACCAGCAAUACAUCACACAGACUACUUAGCAAUGUCAGCACAUACCUACCCGAUUCCAUCUCACCUUCUUCAAUUACAGAGCAGAGAGGAGAGAAUCUGCCAGUAAGCUCUCUGUCAUAAAGGGUAAUGAAGGAAUAAAAAGAUGAUGCAACACAAUCAAACACCCUCCAGUUUCUCUACCUUCACCCAACAUAUCCCUCCUACUUCAAUAGAAAUAUUCAGGUCUGGGUGUCAUAGUUAGAAAUUUCCUUUUUACAUGACUCCAAUUUUAAUUGAAUAACUUUUUAAAAAAACACACUUCUUUUUGGGCAAGGUGAAUGUUUCUGUCAGAAGACAAAAUGUACAAAAUAGAAUGUGGUAGAAAAUCAUAGUACAUCUCAAAAUAUAUUGAUCACUACCCUACCACAAACACAUAAGGACACAUUUCAUUUAACUGGUACACUCAUACCCUAACCAGUUUCUAUACAUCGAUAUUUACUGCAGACAUUGGCAGCAUGUGUAUACUAACAAUAAUUAUAAUGUCAGCCCUACUAGCAGAACAAAAGCCACCAUGUGCUCAUCCUGACCCAACACAUUUAGACAAACAAUUGUUUCAGUUAUUAAAUUUGAGUCUGAUAAACAGCCAUUUUCUUUUCAAUACUCAAAAUUACAGAUGGAAAAGACAUUUAUUCCAACUUAUGGAAACAUCAGUUUGUAAGACUUGGAAUAAAACUCCUAAUUCCCCUAAAUCAACUAAUUUAACAGCAAUAUCUUAAUCUUAAUAACUCAAAUAAUCUCACUUUAAAAACUAGCAAGUCACAAAUAAUUAUGUAUAAGAACUGAGACAACAUAAUUUAUUUGACACCCACAAGUGACUCUAGAAUAACAUAGCUAUCUGUCUAGCUAGCCAAAUAUUACAACUUUGGCUCUGAUGUAGUGUUUGGAAUAAUCUUCUUGUGCCAUUUGACCAUUUAGCUGGUUCAGGAUUUCAGAAAAGAAGGACAUGGAUAAGAGAGACAGAAGAACAGCAAAAAAGAGAAGAACUAUUGAAAGGACUCACAAGGUCAGAAACUCACCAUGAUGGACAAUUUGGACAAGGAAGUCAUUGAGCAUCAUACAGCUUAUAAAAUAUGCAUGCUGUGACUGAUAGGAAAAGCAGCCGAUUGCCCUUGGACAUUAGCUCCCCUAUCUCAAACAGAAAUCUGGCUAAUAAUUUAUUUUUAAAUUUAUGAAAUGAUAUACAAAUAGAAUAAACACUGUUUAGUGACACUGUCUAUCAUGAGCAUGAUUCAACAUAUGCAUUAAAAAUUACUGCAAUAAUGAAUUGGGUUAGAAUUUACAGUGAGCUCCAUAAUGUUUGGGACAAAUACUUAAUAAUUGUUUUUUAUUUUUUAUCUGGAUCUGUACUCCACAAUUUUAGAUUUGUAAUCAAAGUGCACAUUAUCCAUUUUUUUAAUAUGCAUUUUAGUUUCACCAUGUACAAAUUACAGCAGAUUUUUUAUAAAUAGUCCCCCUAUAUAAGGGAUUAUAAUGUUUGGGACAAACGGCAUCACAAGUUUUUCUGAUUAGUCUGCUGUGCUCAAUUGCUUCCUUAGUGCAGGUAUUAGAGAGCUUUUUGUCUCUAGUUUUAAUUAUAGCCUUUUAAUUGCCUUUAGAGACUGUUAUUCUUGUUUGCCAGCAUGAGGACCAGAGGUGUGCCAGUAAAAGACAAGGAAGCCAUUAUGAGGCUGAGAAAUAAGAAAAAAGCAGUAAGAGGCAUAGGCCAGACCUUAGACUUACCAUAAUCAACUGUUUGGAAGAUCAGUAAGAAGAAAGAGAGAACAACGUCACAUGCAGCCAAAAAUAUAGGAUUUUUGCCACUUCAGCCUAGAAUCUGAACAAAGCCAUACACUCACAAACUAAAAAAUACUACAGUAUUUAGAAGAAUACGAUCUUUUGCCUGUGAAUUUGAAAUAUGACAUGGUAUGAAUGCCAAUCAUUUUUAUAGUUGAAAUUUAAUUUCUAUCUGCACAUUAUGUAUACAUUUCUCAUAUUUUUAAACAGGAAUGUUAGAUAUCUUACCCAUGUAGAACUUCUUUAGAAAGAAGUAUUAGGAAACUAAGUUUCUUCCAAAUUGCAUCAAUAUUAGACAAAAAAGCUCAAAGGAGACAACAGAUUGCAGCUGAGUACACAUACUACAUGCUGGUACAAGUAUUCCAAUAACCAAUCAGAAUAAGACUAAGAAUAUUUAAUCCAUACCAGGAAGAUGCGAUUGUCAUAUCUGGCUGUAUACUUAUCUGCGGAAAAUGUGUAGAGCUUUUCAGAGCAGUGAUGAAAGCAUUUAGCUGAAACAUUUGUUUGCUUUUGUAUACAGUUAUUUCUGCACGUACAUCUUCAGGUUGGGCGCCAAUGUAAAAUAAACUUUUGGAUCUGUAUAAAAGGAAGCUCUGCAAACUAGAGAAAAACUCCUUACCUGUACACUUCACUGGUAUAGGCCUGAAAUAAGGAGCACUAGAGCACACUUUGCUCAGGGAAUAAGACACUGUUUGAUGAACUGGGUCGACUGAUGUUUUAUUUCUGACCAGUUGCUGCACAGUGUCCGGGUAAGGAGUGUUUAUGUAGUGGGUCCUAUUAGUAUGUGGACUUUCAUUCCGGAUGCUAAUCCUGUACCUGCCUAGGAUGUGUGUAUUAUCACCUUUGCUAUAUACUUAGAAAUUGAUCAAAACCAUUACAGUUCUUUUAAAUAUUCAUUUUUUUUAGAAACAAUGAUGAAUACGAUAAGUGUGCUGUUGUGCUCAAUAAGUAUGAGGGAGAAAAGGACACAUCCCCAGGCCCCAAAACAGUAAAUCAGUUUGGUCAAGGUUUUGUGAUAGUGCAUGCACAGUUCAAGUAUAGAUAAUGCCCCAUCCUGCCAGUGAUCAAAAUACCUACAUUGACAGAGAUAGCACAUGCUUAUGAAAAAUAAAUUAUCUUCUCAGAUGAGUUUCA
Molecule: long non-coding RNA, 3416 nt
Organism: Anguilla rostrata (American eel)
Lineage: Eukaryota; Metazoa; Chordata; Actinopteri; Anguilliformes; Anguillidae
Exons: 5
Source: RefSeq, a predicted model, not a curated record